Molecule: long non-coding RNA, 526 nt
Organism: Nerophis lumbriciformis (worm pipefish)
Lineage: Eukaryota; Metazoa; Chordata; Actinopteri; Syngnathiformes; Syngnathidae
Source: RefSeq, a predicted model, not a curated record
UCCGUCUGUGCGCACCUCGGGACACGCCCACGGGUGCGCACAUCCAGGGACGCGCCGCGCGCGUCCCCGCCCUGCAGCAGCCACCAGCUGCAAUCACUCACCGGCAAUCAUCACACCUGAAACUGAUGAGGGCGAGCUGGUUAAAAGACCAGUGGACCCUAGGAUCGGCGCGGGAACUUAGUUUUCUCAUGGUGUACCUACCCUCCGUCGCCUGGAAAGUGAGCUGUGCGUCUCACUUUCCCCUGGAUCUCCCUCUGGACUCUGACUGCCUCCUUCGUUCCUCGACCUUUCUCUCGCCCCUGGAUUCUGACGCCUCGCUCUCGCCCCGGAUCAUCUGCCUGCCCCCUGGACUUCCUCGUAUCUCGUUCAACACGUUGGUAACACUCACUUCAGUUAAAUUACACACAUAGUCUUACACUACACACUCUUGUAUUCUAGUUCACACUCCAUUUCCUUAGUUUAGUUGGAUUGUUUGUUGUUAUUAUUAUUAUAUAUAUUUAUUAUAUAUAAUAAAUAUUGUACAUAC